CAAAUUGUCACCCGUAUACUUUUAUCUAGUUGAUAUAACUUCUCCACAUGCAACUCUUUAGCACACAAAUCAAUAAAGAAUAAUGACAAUUCAGUUAAUGGAUCAUAUGCAUCCUUUGGCAAAAUCCCUUUGAUGAUUAGUGGAAAAAUACGUUGGAAAAGAACAUGAAGAUCAUGACUUUUAAGUCCAAAAGUCCGUGCUUUCUUAAUAUUUACACAACGACUAAUGU
This 229-nucleotide long non-coding RNA is filed under the name Nicotiana benthamiana. Its description in RNAcentral is "long non-coding RNA (NBEN_LNC006484)". The record is from RNAcentral. Lineage: Eukaryota; Viridiplantae; Streptophyta; Magnoliopsida; Solanales; Solanaceae.